GGAGCAGAAGGGGCUAGUGCCCCAGAUCAGGCCCGGGUAGCCUGCUUCCUAUGUACCCCAGUCUCAGGUUCCGCGCAAUUGGAUUGGGGCAGGCGCUGUGUUCCACUCACCAGAGGUCUUAGGAUCCCGUGGGGAGUCCUGUGUGGGCCCUUGUGGGUGUUGGGCAAGACUCUGCUGGCAAGGUAGCCCGGGGAUCGAGUGGAGCGGAAGGGGCUUGUGCCCCAGAUCAGGCCCGGGUAGCCUGCUUCCCUAUGUACCCCAGUCUCAGGUUCUGCGCGAUUGGAUUGGCGCAGGCACUGUGUUCCACUCACCAGAGGUCUUAGGAUCCCGUGGGGAGUCCUGUGUGGGCCCUUGCAGGUGUUGGGCGAGACUCUGCUGGCAAGGUAGCCCGGGGCUCCUAGGUUGAGGGUCUUAAAGCCCACCCCCAUAGUGACACACCUAUUCCAACAAGUCCACACCUACUCUAACCUUGUAAUAGUGCCAUUCUCUGGGCCAUGCAUAUACAAACCAUUACAAUGGGGUACCUAGAAGGUGGACUGUGAGCAUGACCACUCUACUCUUGCCUAUGAUUCCACCUGGUGCAUAGCAUUUGACCAGGUAUUACUUGUGCAAUUAUUGAGCAAUAGAUAACUGAUAUUUCACUCACUCUCUCUGUUACCUCUCUAAUGGUUUAUAAUUCAUAUUAAGUAUCAUUUUUAAGUCUAUGUAAAGAAAGUGCUUAAACCAAAUACAUUUCAUAAAACAAUGAUAUUAUAGUGAUGUCUACAGGUUUAGUAAAUCCCUACUUAAAAGCAUAUAAAAUAUUCAAUACUCUUCUGACUUUAAUUAAUUAUCCUAAGCACUAGGCUCUUCAUCUUUACAUUUUCCUCCCUCACAUUUUGUUCACAACAACGUGUACCUAACAAAGUAAGUUAUAGAAGCCUUUUGAAGGAAAAAAGAAAAGCUAAGAAGCCAUAUAACCUUUCCAAUCAGCUUCUUAUUCUUCCUUUAAUGAUUCAUUAUAUGAAGCAGAAUGUAAAUACAUUUAGGAAAUUUUCUGAUUAUCAAAACCAGAUUUCAUCUUGUUAAUUGUAUCCCCAUCAUCGAUUUAGGAGUCAGCCUUCCCAAGCAGUAUUAUAUUAAGAUAAUGAGACAAUAUGCAUAUGCAAAUUGCUCAAAUGAAAAAUUAUGUUCUUGGACACAUUAAACAGAAGAUAUUAGAUAUAGUGACAAUUUGACAUAUGUAAUAUCUUUGUUUAUCUAGACAAGCCAUGCAAAAUAAAAUUCACCAUCACACUCGGGUAUGCAAAUUACCUACAUAAAAAGUGCAGGGAGGUGGAAGGCAAUCCCAGUGACUUUAUUUGACAGUAGAAGAAAGAAAAAGCAGUGUUCUUUUGGUUUGUUUUCAAUUUGGAUGUGGACAAUUUCCAGAGUCUUCCUUCUGCCAACAGAUCAAACUGCCAACCUUGCUGGACUUGGCUCCUGUAUCCCACAUGGAAAAGCUGCCAAGACUCUGCCUGCAGCCAUGCAGGUCCCCACUCUGCACUCUCUCCUCCCCUAGCCCCCCUAUUGCAGGGCUCUCUAUUGGUUCUCUGUGCCUUAGGUAAGUGGCUCGUCCUCAAGAAACAUUCUUAAGGAAGGUCCAGGAGACUGGUCUAGUGAAGCUCAUGAGGACCUGAGUUCAGGUCCCAGAUUCCAUACAAGAAGCUGGAAGUGCUAGCCCCCAGUUGUAGUCCUGGUGCUGGGGAGGCAGCGACAUGAAGAUUAUUUGGAUUCACUAGCAAGAUGGCCUAAGCCUAGUAUAAUUGCUUAGUGCUAAGUUAUAGUGAGAAACCCCACUGCAAAAACAAAAUCAAAGUGACUGGUGGCAUCAGCAUCUAUGUGGGAGGCAGAAGUAGAAGGAUCUUUGUGAGUUUGAGGUUGGCCUGUUCUACACGGCUAGUUCUAGGACAGACAGGGAUAGAUCAUGAGAUCCUAUCUCAAUCAAUCAAUCAACCAACUAAUAAAAAAAAAAAAACAUCGGCAGGAUAGGUGGCUUACCAUAAGAGGUUGUUCUCUGCUCUUAAUGGGGGACUCGCACAAAUGCAGACCCAUGUGCACAAGGGAGUACCUACCAUCUCCACACACUCUGACCCUCACCGUAAAAAGAGAAUUACUUUUCUUUUCUAUGCUAUUUUGCCUGAAAGUCUCUCUGGUAACCUUGGGCUCCUUAGGCUUUCUGGGGCAAUGUUUUGCAAGGUACUUACAGCUUCUCCAAAAGUUGCCCCCUGGGGCCUGGCUAAACCCAGGAGAGAAGUGUUAGAGAAAAAUAACUAUCCAGAAACUGACAAGAAAAUGUAUUUUACAUGACUGCCUUAUUCUAUGUUAAAAUACAUUACCAUAACUCUGUGGAGGUGAUAUUAGCAGUUCAGUAAUUUAGCCAAUGUCAUCUAGUUAAGUGGUAGUUGUAGACUUAAGCAUUUUCUAUUGCAUCCAAGGUCCAAGAAACACACUCCACCAUAGGAAAGCAUAAUGUUUUGAAUCUUUAGACUCAGCAUCCUGGUACUGUAAAGCACCCACAGGUUCACUGUCUGACCACGUGGAAUCCAUAGGUCAUUAGCCUGGGGCC
This 2587-nucleotide long non-coding RNA is filed under the name Mus musculus (house mouse). Its description in RNAcentral is "long non-coding RNA chr9:112489684-112492271". The record is from RNAcentral. Lineage: Eukaryota; Metazoa; Chordata; Mammalia; Rodentia; Muridae.